GACGAAGGAUGCAAGCGUUAUCCGGAUUCAUUGGGUUUAAAGGGAGCGUAGGCGGCCUGGUAGGUCAGUGGUGAAAUCUCGCAGCUUAACUGCGAAACUGCCAUUAAUACUGCUAGGCUAGAGUACAGAUGCUGUGGGCGGAAUAUGACAUGUAGUGGUGAAAUACAUAGAGAUGUCAUAGAACACCGAUUGCGAAGGCAGCUCACAAAACUGUAACUGACGCUGAGGCUCGAAAGUGUGGGGAUCAAACAGG
This 253-nucleotide ribosomal RNA is filed under the name uncultured bacterium. RNAcentral describes it as "partial 16S ribosomal RNA". It matches the Rfam family "Bacterial small subunit ribosomal RNA", at positions 524 to 776 of the family's 1533-position model. The record is from RNAcentral.